GCUGGGUGGAUGAGUGGCGAACGGGUGAGUAACACGUGAGUAACCUGCCCUUCACUCUGGGAUAACUCCGGGAAACCGGUGCUAAUACUGGAUAGGACUCCUGCCUGCAUGGGUGGGGGUGGAAAGAUUUAUCGGUGGAGGAUGGACUCGCGGCCUAUCAGCUUGUUGGUGGGGUAAUGGCCUACCAAGGCGACGACGGGUAGCCGGCCUGAGAGGGUGACCGGCCACACUGGGACUGAGACACGGCCCAGACUCCUACGGGAGGCAGCAGUGGGGAAUAUUGCACAAUGGGCGAAAGCCUGAUGCAGCGACGCCGCGUGCGGGAUGACGGCCUUCGGGUUGUAAACCGCUUUCAGUAGGGACGAAGCUUUUGUGACGGUACCUACAGAAGAAGCACCGGCUAACUACGUGCCAGCAGCCGCGGUAAUACGUAGGGUGCGAGCGUUGUCCGGAAUUAUUGGGCGUAAAGAGCUUGUAGGCGGUUUGUCGCGUCUGCUGUGAAAGCCCGGGGCUUAACCCUGGGUCUGCAGUGGGUACGGGCAGGCUAGAGUGUGGUAGGGGAGACUGGAAUUCCUGGUGUAGCGGUGGAAUGCGCAGAUAU
This 601-nucleotide ribosomal RNA is filed under the name Ornithinimicrobium flavum. Its description in RNAcentral is "bacterial SSU rRNA". It matches the Rfam family "Bacterial small subunit ribosomal RNA", at positions 82 to 697 of the family's 1533-position model. Lineage: Bacteria; Bacillati; Actinomycetota; Actinomycetes; Micrococcales; Ornithinimicrobiaceae. The record is from RNAcentral.